AAUGAAGUACAAAAGCUGUAUUUAUUUGAAUUAUAAGUGCUAUAAAUUUGCUUUAAGAAACUUACAAGUGCAGWGAAACAAGUAAAAUAAUAACAGGAGAGCUACUUUUCUGCAUGUUUAAACAGUUGUCACAAAAAAGCAGAGGUCUUAAAGGUGUUCCUCCAAGUUUUUGUUUGGACUGAGGAAGUUUCCAAGUACACACAUCUGAUCAAGCAUUCUUCUGCUCAUUGGGACUUGACAGGACAUGUUUUGAUGUCAGGAGGGUAAAAAUAAAAAUGGUUUACUGGAGUACACCUAUUAAAAAUCCUGAAGGUAGGAWUUUUUUUGAAAUCAGGCUUCAAUAAUGAAUGUAUAUGAAAAACUUAUUUGUAAAAUGCAAARCAUUUUCUGAUGUGGGUUUUUUCCAACUGUUAGAUAUUUAUUCAGUUAUUCAGUUUAAUCUUUUUUUGGACCACUGCUUGUUUUAUCUGCAGUAAUAAGCUAUUGACAAGCUGAACUGGUGUUAGCAAUUUACAGAUAGUUUUGAUUCAAACUCCUAAAUGCCCUUAGUGGCUUCUCAUAAUAGGAAUAUUUUAGCUGUGAGUCAUUUUUGCCAGAUAACUGAUUCUGUCUGGGGGAUUCAAGGCCGUUUUCAGUUUGUAUGUAUAAAGCUUCUUGCCAGACUUGUAUGGAAUUUGGUUUCCCAAUGCAGUUUCAUAUGGCACAAAUGGUCUAUUUGCUCAUUACAUUACACUGGUAUAGUACUAAUGAUAGUGUACUAAUUGUAGAACUGUAAUGCAGCAGCCUGUGCUGCUGCUCUUGGCAUUACUGCACUGUGGGUGCCAGACUUCAUCUUUGCUAAGGCUCAUGCAGUUCCUGUUGGCCUGGCAGUGCAGACUGUCCAAGACUCUCUGCAUAGCAGCUCAUCUGUCCCCUCGACCUCUCCCUUCUCCCCAUUUGGUGUCAUCUGCAAACCCAGGGCACAUGGGUUUCAUCACGUUAUCCAGCUGACAUGAGCAGUGCCAGACCCAGCUCAACUGGUUCAGCUUUGAGCUACAAACCACUGGAAAUGGAAGAAAGCCUCUGAGAACAGAACGUGUUCCAAGCUGUGUGAGAUCACUGCUGGCUGUCUGGUUUUCCCCGUUCACUGGUGUUGGUUAGGAGAUGAAAUGGAUGGGUGUUGAUCACAUUCAGACUGUUUGAAGUUAGUUUUGGAGGACUGGAGGACAUGUUCUGACCUGGCAUUUGAGGUGACCGGUUGGCAUAUGGAACUUYAUCAGUUCUUUAUGUGAGUGUGAAUAACUGCAGUGGGUUAUUGGCUGUGAAAUCUGACUACUUUURUAGUAAUGAGAGUUUUUAAACUUCAUUUGCACUAUGCACUGAUAAACUGCUUCYAUUCUCUUGUGUGACUGGCUAAAUCUUCUCACCUUUUCUGUCUGACUACAAAUACUUCUAGGAAUACAACAGAAAUAUGUAAAAUAUUUUAGGAAAAGAUGUGCUGCRUUUUUUCUCUUCUAAUGUAGCAUAGCAGCUGGAAGCACAGAAAACUGGGACCGAGUGACCAGCCAUCCAUUCUGGUGCUGAAAGRUGGGAGAUGCCAACAGCAAGGGACUCUGCCCACUGCUAUGCUGUGAAGUUCAGUAGCAGUUACUGAGCUGUUUAAAGAGUGCACAGAGCCAGCUGUUCCAAAAGAUGCAUGAAUACRUUUGGGUUUCACUGAAGCUUACUCAGAGGUACUGCCAAGUGAAUGCAAUUUGGGAAGGAAGAACAGAGCAAGUUCUACCAUGGCAGAUACCAUCAGAAUUCUUUGARGAAAGGUAAUCUAGAGUUUUAAAACUACUGUAAGUUUUAAUAAAUCUUGACAUACUUUUGAGUGUUUCAAGACUUUUGAUACUCAAGGGCAUGUGACUGAAAUUAURUUUUAGAAAUUUUGCCUUGAAGUGAGAGCUGCCUGUCCAUUCCCCACCACUGCCUUACCCAGACAGUCCUGAAUUCUUGYAUCAUUUCAGGCUUUCAGGAACUAACGGCUUCAGGGAAACAACAAACAUGAGUCUCUGAUACUCUAGUGAUGCCAGUAACAUUAUCCAAAUGCAGUCAGUCCUUUGCUGGCACUGCACUGUGUGAGCACUGUGAGAAUAGUCAGAUUUGUAUAUUUAGGUAGGAAAGGAGCUCAUGAAUUACUCCGCAAAACAGUAUCAAAGAUUAUAAAGUGAUGUCAAACAAAGAUAUUUCCUGUCUAUUAAACAUGUACUAAAGGUGUUCCUGGGAGAUCACAGGAGUACAACUACCAGUCCUCUGCACAAACCAAAUUGGAAACUUCAGGAAUUUCCUUGUAAGACUUUUUAUGAUCACAAAAUAUACUUGCAGAGUUUAUACAUACRUUUGUGUACAAGUACCUUUAGAUGAUCAACUGUGAUAAAAGAAAGGUAUUGACCAUUCUAGUACUUUUUCAGACCUGAAACUGUUAAAAGUGUCAAAUUCUGUACAUCUGGGCACAGAAUCAGUUGCUGGCAGCAGAUAUUCUCAGCUGGAAUUUACCUUCAUGUUUCCAGAUUAAUUCCCUGACGUGAGGGUGCAUCUGUCUACAUGAGAGUUUGUUUUCCCAAAUGGAUCCACUAGAAAGUCUUGUGGUGACUGUUACUCUUUCCUGCCCUAAGGUUUGCUGCUACUCCAGCUGCUGCUGUAGUGCUUUCUCUAUUAGAAAGAAAUGGUGCAGCAUAGCCUUUCUUGCAGAAGUUCUUUUGCUCUUCCUGUGUCAGUUCCUCUGAUACACUUUAGCACAGAAAGAAAAACAAGGAUUUUCUGAAAAUAAAUUUAGAAAUGCCCAUGUUAAGAAUCAAUAUAGUCAAAUUCACGCCAGUGUCAAUGCUUUGGGUGUACUCUUCAGAAACUAUUUUAAAGCAUCUGUAAAUAAAAUGAGAAUAUUUGUUUAGAAUUUUAUUUCAUCACUGAAAACAAAAUUCGGAAUAAUGAUGCGACCUUGAAAAGGUUUAAAACUCAGCUUUGUUCAUGAUUUUUGUCUUUAACAUUUGUUUAUCCCAUAGUUGAGUGAGCAGCAUGAGUGCCACCCUGUGCUAGGCCUGCUGCAACUGAUUCAAGAGCUUUACUUUCAGAAGCUCCACCUACCAGACCUUUGCACGAACAAUUCAAAAUAAUUUAAAAAAGGAGGAAUGYUAAAAAGAUUUCUGCUGAAAUAAGUCACCCAUCAGUCUGUCUAAUGUGGGCUAUGCUGCCAGGCAGACACAGAGCACUUCAACAAAUAUUUUAAUGAUUGGAUUAAAUUUGAGCUUAAAAAGGAGGGAAGGAAGAAGCUGUCAGAAGCCCAUGGCUGAGCAGGUCUUGUAGCCACAGUAAAAGCUACCUCAGCAGUCAAAUCCUAUUUAUUUCAGAACCAUGCAGUUACCUGCAGUUCUGUUCCCUUGAUUGACAGGAGGACAGUAACCUUGAGCAGCUCUCUGGAUAUUCCUUGUUUAUAGCAGAAGUAACGAAAUUAGGAAGAGGUGUAGUUACUGCAAAGGUGCACAUGCUACUUUCAACAGCUUUUGUAGCCCUUUGUAAACUAACAAGUACUCACAUCACAGUUGAAAUUCUUUAGCUUAUUUGCAAGUAACCUAAGCACAAUGCACAGUGAGAUUGAUUAGAAUGACUUGUUUAGUGUAAAAGCAGCACACUGAGCUUAAGAAACCUGGAGAGAGUUUUGUACUGACAUCAUCACUAUUUCUUGAGAAAAAGCAUCUUGUGGGUCAACAGCCCUCUCACUGCAGGCUCUUUUGGUUUAAUAAACAGAAAAUUUGCGUGUGGGUACAUGAAUAAAUAAGUUUGUUUCCUGCUUUCUUCAGGGAAGGUAAUUCACACAACAUCCUAGUUAUCAAAAAAAUACAUUGUCUUUUAUUURUAGGUUUUUUACCAGCCCAGAGAGACAAACUGAAAAGAUAAAGUAUUGUAACACUUCCUUGGUUUUAAGAAUAUCUGUGGCUCCAUCCUCCUCUGUGUGUGUAUGUGUGCAUGUUUCAGGCUGUGGCUUAAGUCUAGGCUUCUCAGUUUCUAUACUGGCAAAACCUUCCCAAAGGCUUUCUUUGGUCCAGCCUUUCUCCACAGGAAUGAUGGUGG
Malurus melanocephalus (red-backed fairy wren) is the source of this 4089-nucleotide long non-coding RNA. RefSeq lists it as uncharacterized. The record is from RefSeq and is a predicted model, not a curated record. The transcript is spliced from 3 exons. Lineage: Eukaryota; Metazoa; Chordata; Aves; Passeriformes; Maluridae.